GGACUAGGAGGGGCAAUUAAAAAAAAAGACGCAGUAGCAAAAACGGCAAAAGAAUCACGCUAAUAGACUUGGGAAUCUUUUCCAGAGAGGAGGAGGAAAGGUGACGUGGGAGGAAAAAUAUUUGGAUUAUUAGAAAAAGACGAGACUAUUAACCGUAGGAAGGAAUGAUGUGACGGGGAGGAACGAAGUGGGAGGCUCAUUUCUCCCUCUUUGGAAGCAAUAAGAAAUUGGAGCAGGCAACGAGAAAAGGAGAUGCAUACUCAGGGAUCGGGCAGAAGAAGAAAGGGGUGGGCGAGAGUAAGAAAUUGGGACGGAAAAGGGAAUAGCUAAACCCAGGAGAAAGUGCGUGGGCAAUCCUGGGGAGAAGGGCAGGAGGAGGAGAGAGGCGAUUCCAGGACGAAGAACGGAGGCGUCAUAUCAGAAAGACAAGAGAUGGGCGGGCUGCUGGGGGAUCAACUCGAAGAGCGGCUGCUUCGCCGGCUGGUAGGCAUUUAGGAGGGGAGGAGGAGGAGAGGUUCUGUGUCCGCCUCCUCUUCCGCCGACAAAUGUUUUUAGGCUCCAAAGCUGGCCUUUUCCUUCUGCUCCCGCGAGGAGGCCGAGGCCAAGUCAGAUCAAAACACCAGAAGAUACACUCACAUUAUGUGGGCUGGAUGGCUUUUCAGCUGUAAUUGAUCUCCUUAGGUUAGCAGGCCUCAUCAAAUACAAGACAAAUGCCAGAACCAGCCAGCCCAGAAUUAUCAUGGUAACACUGAUGCCAUUGUCAGCAGAUGGAUUUGGUCCUGGUACUGGAAAAAAUGAGAGAAACUCAGUUAAAAGAAGUACAGAAUCCAUCACAUUCAUCAAACUGGAAAAACCACCCACAAAUCAUCAGUACGGAAACUGUUCUGGGGAUUGGACAAUAUUGUUGAUCAGGUAUAGAAGAAUCUCUGGCUGAAUGGGGCACAUGAUUAAGCUCCAUCUGGAGGGGAAAGAGGAGGAGGAGGAAGUGGGGUAUAAUCUAUUCCCCUGCCAAAGUUGGGGAAGAGACCACACUGCCAGCAGAAGCAUUCAGAAGCCCAAUACACACUGAGAGCCCGAGCAGUAUUAAUUUCAGUUGGCUUACUCUAAGUAUGAUUAUAUGGAGAUCAAAUGCCAUUAAACCAGCAAAAACUCUUGAAAUAUGAAAUGCUCUUAUGAAAAUCAAAUAAAAAAGGAACCAUUCAUAAAACUAAAUUUAGAUACACUUCACGAUGCAUAUAUCACAGAAGAAAUGAGAUGAUUGUGCAACCUGAACACCCCUUAGGCUGAAAGCAGAUGACAGUUUUAAUCCAGAAAGCUAAAAUGCAUGUAGUUGCUCAUGAUGUGGAUGCUCCUUCCACUAGUAAACAAUCUUUCCCAAACCUGCAAAACCUAUAUGAAGAGAAGUUACAGCGGGACUGAAGAAAUCCAUGAUUAUACCAUUGGAAUAGAUGUAUCUUGCAAACAGUUUUCAUUUGCUUUAAACUUAUUGCCUAUCUCCAAUUUAAUUAUGCAGAGAAAGUGAAGCAAAAGAAAGGUGGGCUUCUUGUGUCACACAAAACCAAACAAGAUAUAACAAUUGAAAAUGCUAGCAUAAGGAAGCUUUUGUUUAUUGCAUUAAUUUAUUUAAAAUUAUUCAACAUUUUAGCCUAUUAUUCCUUCAAGAAGCAAUACAUGUAUGAUUCCCAGGCUGAUUAUAGCUUCAGCAUUAAAUUCUUUCAGAUCAUACAUUGCUUUGUGAAGAUGAAUGAUGGAGAGCAAAGUCUUUUUAUUUUUGGUCUGAGGCAAAUCUGUUGGACCACUUUGGGGGAAGGUACCUGCCUGUGAUCUGCAAACCCUGAUGGAUGACUAGCUGAACUCUCAAUAUAGGCUUCCAAUGUGUCUCUCUGUGACUUUCUUCAAAUCCAUCUUUCCAUCACUUUAACCAUUCAAACAGGCAGCAGAAAAUGGCCCUCAUUACAUUGAUUUUUGUUUAAUUUUGAACAACUCUGAGAAGAGGACAUCAAGGAGAAAAGCAAAUGGGAAAUCUACUUCCUCCACUUUUUAGAAAGUCAUGCUGCUAUUUAUUUCCUAAUCUCCUACUGUAAGUGGUCCCUUUGGGACAUGGUUGCAGUAUAAUAUCAAAUGCAAUCCCUCAUACGGAACCCUUUCUGUUGCUUUUAGAGGUCCAGUUCCUGCUGGACCCUUCCCCUCAAGUGUCUCUGGUUUCUAUACUUGGUGGAGUAGGGUUUAAUCCUGGUCCACACCCUUCCUUGGCUGUUCUUGUGUGUUUGGUCAUAGCCCAACUCUUGAUGAAGGAAGGCUGGCUGGCAAGAGACUCCACUCAGUCAUUGUCUAAACACAGUUCUUUAUGAGUCACUGUACUGACUGUAAACCUUAAGUUUAAGAAAUAGAUGACUUAGUUAAAUGCUGUCUGCUUCAUUUCCACUUCAUCUUGAAUUGCUUUUAAAAUGAUCAUGUUGUUAAGUUUAUUUCACUUGUGCUCCUUUCUGAAAAUCUAUGACAGCCUUCCCAAUUGGACAUUCUCCAGAUGUGCUGAAUUGCAAUUCCUAUCAUUUCCAGCCAGCAUAGCCAUCCUGGUGGGAAAUAAUAGUUGUAGUCCUACAUGGCUGAAGGGAUGCAAGUUGGGGAAGACUGGUCUAUGGCCUCAUCCUACAACAUCUUGUCAAACUGACGUCCUCAGCUUUCUCUCAUGCCCAUUUUUUCUUCUCCCUGUAUCCUACUGCCCAUAGUCAAAGUAGUGAAGUAACCACAUUUUAAAUACUUUGUACAAUUCUAGUCAUUACACAUCAACAAGGCUAUUGUAGACUUGAAAAAAGUGUAGAAAAAGAUAACAAAUGAUCAAGGGGCUAGAGCAACUCCACUUCAAGGAAGGGUUAUAACAUCAGGCCCGGUUUAGCUUAGAAAAGAGGUAAGGGGAAUUGUACCAAAAAUGCAUGGGAUGAAGAAUGUGGAUUGAGAGACAUUUCUCUCUGCCAUAAUGCUAGAAUCCAGGUUUAUUCAGGGUGCAAAAGUAUAGGUUCCUACCCAGAAGACAUACAAUCCAUAAUUUAACACAAGAGGGGAAAGGGAGGAUGAACGAGAGAGAAAAGUGUUAUUUUACAUAUGCACAUUCAGGCUUAAGUUACAAUAGUGUGGCAUGAGGAUUGUGCCAAAAAAGUGCAUUUAAAAGCAUGCAAAGAGAGAGACACACACACACAACAUCACACAGCAGUCAGUUUCAAACAUUCAGAGCUACAUGAUGGAAAAGGCAAAAUCAUUUGAGCGUUUAAACUUUAGGAGAUGGAGUUGAAGCAAAGCUGGAAGAACAUAAGAAACAGGAAUGUGUCAA
This is a long non-coding RNA of Varanus komodoensis (Komodo dragon), 3328 nucleotides long. RefSeq lists it as uncharacterized. The record is from RefSeq and is a predicted model, not a curated record. The transcript has 2 exons. NCBI's taxonomy places the organism in Eukaryota, Metazoa, Chordata, Lepidosauria, Squamata, Varanidae.